AUGUGGCAGGCAGACAGCCCCGUUCCUUCCUCGUCCAGGGGAGGAGAGAAGACUCAUUCAAACUGCCCAGGCAGCACCCGAGCCCGAGCAGGGCGCUCGCUGUGGGCACAGACCCGCGGCCAGCCCGGCUGCAGAGCGGCACAGCCGGCCUGGCAGAGCCGACCCCCGUCGCGAUGCGCGCCAGGCCCCGUGCGCCGCUUCACCCACCCUACCAUUCCCGCCUGCCUCGGGCCGCACUCGCGGCUCCUCACACCGCUUCCCUCCCGGGGGCCGCCCUCACCGGGAUGCGCCGAGCGCCGCGGUCCGCCUGUCCCCCGCACACGGGCGGCCGGGCCUUGCGAGGGGCGGGUGCGAGGAGGUGGCGGGGGCGGCCGCCCCAAGCCCGCUCCGAAGCGGCGGCCGGGAGGGGCCGGAGCUCCUACCCGCGCCGUGACCGAGGCUCAGGCCCCACAGCGCUGCGACCACCUCCUCCUCCUCCUCCACCGUCUGCCCGGCCUCCGGCGCGGCCCGGGCGACGGCCCUCACUCUGCCGCGCCGGCGCUGCCCGGCGGCGUGGCCGGCACUCACCCGCUGGCGGCCCUUGAAGCCCCGCGCUGCUCAGCGCCGCGCUGCCGCCAUGUUGGAGCUGGUGCGGCACGGACUGCGUCAGUGGCGGACAAGGCGGGAGCGGCGAGCCGGGGGCGGCGCGCCGGGGGCGGGCGGGGGAGCGCGGCGGCGGGAGCGGCGUUCCCCGGCCCGGGCACGGUGCGAGGGGUCGCGAGCAGCGACACAGCCCAGGCCAGCGGCGCGGGCCGCUCGCGAGGAGCCCAAGCGGCUGGGGGAGGGGCUCCCGCCUCCUCGGGCGCGUCAGCGGCGCUCCGCCCCUGCCGCCGGGCCAGGCCCGAGCGGGCGCGGCGCGGGAAGGAGCCGGAGGGGCUGGAGCGCGGCAGGUACACGGGCCCUUCCCAGCCCAACGUGCUCGAGAACCGUGCUUGUCUUCGCCGCCGAUGGGCCCGCGAAAUGGCCUAG
Camarhynchus parvulus is the source of this 1008-nucleotide long non-coding RNA. The record is from Ensembl. Lineage: Eukaryota; Metazoa; Chordata; Aves; Passeriformes; Thraupidae.